This 73-nucleotide transfer RNA is filed under the name Ailuropoda melanoleuca (giant panda). It matches the Rfam family "tRNA". From Rfam's summary of the family: Transfer RNA (tRNA) molecules are approximately 80 nucleotides in length. The record is from Rfam by way of RNAcentral. Lineage: Eukaryota; Metazoa; Chordata; Mammalia; Carnivora; Ursidae.
ACCUGGUUGGAUCAGUUGGUAGAGCACGUGACUCUUCAUCUUGAGAUUGUGAGUUCAAGCCCCACAGUGGGUG